This 29-nucleotide non-coding RNA is filed under the name Homo sapiens (human). The record is from RNAcentral. Lineage: Eukaryota; Metazoa; Chordata; Mammalia; Primates; Hominidae.
AUCCAAAGGCAACCCUUCGUGCAGUGCUC